UGCCACUUUGUGGUUCAUGACUGGGGUGAAGUCGUAACAAGGUAGCGCUAGGGGAACCUGGCGCUGGAUCACCUCCUUACACGAUGAU
RNAcentral lists this ribosomal RNA (88 nucleotides) under Vibrio cholerae. RNAcentral describes it as "partial 16S ribosomal RNA". The stretch from base 1 to 79 matches the Rfam family "Bacterial small subunit ribosomal RNA", at positions 1455 to 1533 of the family's 1533-position model. The record is from RNAcentral. Lineage: Bacteria; Pseudomonadati; Pseudomonadota; Gammaproteobacteria; Vibrionales; Vibrionaceae.